This is a long non-coding RNA of Lacerta agilis (Sand lizard), 191 nucleotides long. RefSeq lists it as uncharacterized. The transcript has 3 exons. Lineage: Eukaryota; Metazoa; Chordata; Lepidosauria; Squamata; Lacertidae. The record is from RefSeq and is a predicted model, not a curated record.
AGUUGGCAGCCCAGAUCACAGUUCUUCAACCAUUGAACAAGAGUUGACCACCCUUGAUUCAGAAAUGUCCCAGAAGUUAAUAGGGCUUAAGGAAAAGCAACAGCAACAGCUGCUUAAUCUUCGGCAAGAACAGUAUUAUAGUGAAAAGUACCAGAAGCAAGCACAUAUUAAAUUGCUCAUUCAGAAGUUGG